GCUAGCUACAGGCUUAACACAUGCAAGUCGCCGUGCAGCAUUUUAGUUUGCUUGCAAACUGAAGAUGGCGACCGGCGCACGGGUGAGUAACACGUAUCCAACCUGCCGAUAACUCCGGAAUAGCCUUUCGAAAGAAAGAUUAAUACCGGAUAGCAUACGAAUAUCGCAUGAUAUUUUUAUUAAAGAAUUUCGGUUAUCGAUGGGGAUGCGUUCCAUUAGUUUGUUGGCGGGGUAACGGCCCACCAAGACUACGAUGGAUAGGGGUUCUGAGAGGAAGGUCCCCCACAUUGGAACUGAGACACGGUCCAAACUCCUACGGGAGGCAGCAGUGAGGAAUAUUGGUCAAUGGGCGAGAGCCUGAACCAGCCAAGUAGCGUGAAGGAUGAAGGCUCUAUGGGUCGUAAACUUCUUUUAUAUGGGAAUAAAGUUUUCCACGUGUGGAAUUUUGUAUGUACCAUAUGAAUAAGGAUCGGCUAACUCCGUGCCAGCAGCCGCGGUAAUACGGAGGAUCCGAGCGUUAUCCGGAUUUAUUGGGUUUAAAGGGAGCGUAGGUGGAUUGUUAAGUCAGUUGUGAAAGUUUGCGGCUCAACCGUAAAAUUGCAGUUGAAACUGGCAGUCUUGAGUACAGUAGAGGUGGGCGGAAUUCGUGGUGUAGCGGUGAAAUGCUUAGAUAUCACGAAGAACUCCGAUUGCGAAGGCAGCUCACUAGACUGUCACUGACACUGAUGCUCGAAAGUGUGGGUAUCAAACAGGAUUAGAUACCCUGGUAGUCCACACAGUAAACGAUGAAUACUCGCUGUUUGCGAUAUACAGUAAGCGGCCAAGCGAAAGCAUUAAGUAUUCCACCUGGGGAGUACGCCGGCAACGGUGAAACUCAAAGGAAUUGACGGGGGCCCGCACAAGCGGAGGAACAUGUGGUUUAAUUCGAUGAUACGCGAGGAACCUUACCCGGGCUUAAAUUGCAACAGAAUAUAUUGGAAACAGUAUAGCCGUAAGGCUGUUGUGAAGGUGCUGCAUGGUUGUCGUCAGCUCGUGCCGUGAGGUGUCGGCUUAAGUGCCAUAACGAGCGCAACCCUUAUCUUUAGUUACUAACAGGUCAUGCUGAGGACUCUAGAGAGACUGCCGUCGUAAGAUGUGAGGAAGGUGGGGAUGACGUCAAAUCAGCACGGCCCUUACGUCCGGGGCUACACACGUGUUACAAUGGGGGGUACAGAAGGCGGCUACCUGGUGACAGGAUGCUAAUCCCAAAAACCUCUCUCAGUUCGGAUCGAAGUCUGCAACCCGACUUCGUGAAGCUGGAUUCGCUAGUAAUCGCGCAUCAGCCAUGGCGCGGUGAAUACGUUCCCGGGCCUUGUACACACCGCCCGUCAAGCCAUGAAAGCCGGGGGUACCUGAAGUACGUAACCGCAAGGAGCGUCCUAGGGUAAAACUGGU
This 1434-nucleotide ribosomal RNA is filed under the name uncultured organism. Its description in RNAcentral is "SSU rRNA". It matches the Rfam family "Bacterial small subunit ribosomal RNA". The record is from RNAcentral.